GGCGGCAUAGCCAAGUGGAUAAGGCUUUGGAUUGCAAAUCCUUCACUCUCCAGUUCAAAUCUGGAUGCCGUCU
Molecule: transfer RNA, 73 nt
Filed under: Poterioochromonas malhamensis
Lineage: Eukaryota; Synurophyceae; Ochromonadales; Ochromonadaceae
Also listed under: 1 other name
Description: tRNA-Cys
Rfam family: tRNA
About the family: Transfer RNA (tRNA) molecules are approximately 80 nucleotides in length. Their secondary structure includes four short double-helical elements and three loops (D, anti-codon, and T loops).
Source: RNAcentral